AACUUUUAAAACAUCUCUUUUUGAAUAAAAUAAUAAGUUUACUCUGCUCAAUGAUUAUUUAAAUAGCUGCAGUAAUUUAACUGUACAAAGGUAGCAUAAUAAAUUGUUUUUUAAUUGAAAACUUGAAUGAAUGAGUUGAUGAAAUAUACACUUUAUUAAAUUUAAAUUUUGAAAUUUAUUUUAGAGUUAAAAAGCUUUAAUAAAUUUAAGGGACGAGAAGACCCUAUAGAAUUUUAUAUUAUAUAUUAAUUUAUUGAGUUAAUAUAUUAAUAUUAAUUUGGGAGGAAUAAUAAAUUUUUAAACUUUAUUUUUAUUUUACUAUUGAUUAAUGGAUUAAAUAGAAUUUAUAAUAAAUAAUUAUUAAAUUAAAUUACCUUAGGGAUAACAGCGUAAUAUUUUUUUAAAGUUCUUAUUAAAAAAAAUGUUUGCGACCUCGGGU
Molecule: ribosomal RNA, 439 nt
Filed under: Epyris festivus
Lineage: Eukaryota; Metazoa; Arthropoda; Insecta; Hymenoptera; Bethylidae
Description: partial 16S ribosomal RNA
Source: RNAcentral